RNAcentral lists this transfer RNA (73 nucleotides) under Castanea mollissima (Chinese chestnut). It matches the Rfam family "tRNA". From Rfam's summary of the family: Transfer RNA (tRNA) molecules are approximately 80 nucleotides in length. Their secondary structure includes four short double-helical elements and three loops (D, anti-codon, and T loops). Further hydrogen bonds mediate the characteristic L-shaped molecular structure. tRNAs have two regions of fundamental functional importance: the anti-codon, which is responsible for specific mRNA codon recognition, and the 3' end, to which the tRNAs corresponding amino acid is attached (by aminoacyl-tRNA synthetases). tRNAs cope with the degeneracy of the genetic code in two manners: having more than one tRNA (with a specific anti-codon) for a particular amino acid; and 'wobble' base-pairing, i.e. permitting non-standard base-pairing at the 3rd anti-codon position. The record is from Rfam by way of RNAcentral. Lineage: Eukaryota; Viridiplantae; Streptophyta; Magnoliopsida; Fagales; Fagaceae. RNAcentral also lists the same sequence under 2 other names.
GCCUGCUUGGCUCAAUUGGUAGAGCAUCGGUUUUGUAAACCGACGGUUGAUGGUUCAAGUCCGUCAGCAGGCA